Molecule: ribosomal RNA, 474 nt
Filed under: uncultured bacterium
Lineage: Bacteria
Description: bacterial SSU rRNA
Rfam family: Bacterial small subunit ribosomal RNA
Source: RNAcentral
ACUCCUACGGGAGGCAGCAGUAGGGAAUCUUCCACAAUGGGCGCAAGCCUGAUGGAGCAACACCGCGUGAGCGAAGAAGGGUUUCGGCUCGUAAAGCUCUGUUGUUAAAGAAGAACACGUAUGAGAGUAACUGUUCAUACGUUGACGGUAUUUAACCAGAAAGUCACGGCUAACUACGUGCCAGCAGCCGCGGUAAUACGUAGGUGGCAAGCGUUAUCCGGAUUUAUUGGGCGUAAAGAGAGUGCAGGCGGUUUUCUAAGUCUGAUGUGAAAGCCUUCGGCUUAACCGGAGAAGUGCAUCGGAAACUGGAUAACUUGAGUGCAGAAGAGGGUAGUGGAACUCCAUGUGUAGCGGUGGAAUGCGUAGAUAUAUGGAAGAACACCAGUGACGAAGGCGGCUACCUGGUCUGCAACUGACGCUGAGACUCGAAAGCAUGGGUAGCGAACAGGAUUAGAUACCCCUGGUAGGAUAGCG